GAGUUUGAUCAUGGCUCAGAACGAACGUUGGCGGCGUGCUUAACACAUGCAAGUCGAGCGAGAAAACCCUCGCAAGGGGGUGAGUAAAGCGGCGCACGGGUGAGUAACACGUGGGUGACGUGCCCUCCGUUGGGGGAUAACACCUCGCAAGGGGUGCUAAUACCGCGUACGACCCUUCGACCACGGUUGGAGGGUGAUAGGAGCAAUCCGGCGGAGGAUCGGCCCGCGGCCCAUCAGCUUGUUGGCGGGGUAAAGGCCCACCAAGGCGAUGACGGGUAGCUGGUCUGAGAGGAUGGCCAGCCACACUGGAACUGGGACACGGUCCAGACUCCUACGGGAGGCAGCAGUGGGGAAUCUUGCGCAAUGGGCGAAAGCCUGACGCAGCGACGCCGCGUGGGUGACGAAGGCCUUCGGGUUGUAAAGCCCUGUGGGAGGGACGAACAAGCAGCAAUGCCCUGACGGUACCUCCUUAGCAAGCACCGGCCAACUCCGUGCCAGCAGCCGCGGUAAGACGGAGGGUGCAAACGUUGUUCGGAAUUACUGGGCGUAAAGCGCGUGUAGGCGGUCCGAAAAGUCGGAUGUGAAAUCCCUCGGCUCAACCGAGCGAACUGCAUUCGAUACUGCCGGACUGGAGUUCGGGAGAGGGAAGCGGAAUUCCCGGUGUAGAGGUGAAAUUCGUAGAUAUCGGGAGGAACACCGGUGGCGAAGGCGGCUUCCUGGAC
Molecule: ribosomal RNA, 722 nt
Filed under: uncultured bacterium
Lineage: Bacteria
Description: bacterial SSU rRNA
Rfam family: Bacterial small subunit ribosomal RNA
Source: RNAcentral